Molecule: long non-coding RNA, 1180 nt
Organism: Rosa chinensis
Lineage: Eukaryota; Viridiplantae; Streptophyta; Magnoliopsida; Rosales; Rosaceae
Exons: 3
Source: RefSeq, a predicted model, not a curated record
CAAUUGGGAAACUGAAUUUUCUCUCUCUUCCUCCCGCGUCCGAGCUCGACCGGAACGACUGCAAAUUCUUCUCCGGCCAAGUUCUCCACCAUCCGGCCACCAAUCCUCACCAAAUUUCUUCCAUUGGCUUCGUAUGAUCCUUGCGCACCCAUCUGUGGUGGCCUUGCACGGCGGCGCGGCCUGUGGCGGCGGCUGCGAGCUUGUUUCGAUUUGAGUUCGAUUUUAGUCAACGCCGGUUUUCUCCUAGCUCCAGCCACCAAAACUUCCGAUCCUUAGCUCCAUUAACUCACCUCAACUUGCUGAUCAUCAUACUAGAAGGAUCACACCUGGAGUGACCGGUUUCACGUUCGUCGGAGCUCGACCGGUUUUCGAUCCGAAACCAAAACCUUUCGAUUGUGAUAUCUCGAGCUGUAGUGCAUCGUUUUGAUUGAUUCUUGAACCAGUGAGUUCGCCUUGAUAUUCUUAACAACUCUCUAGAAGGAAUCGAGGCCUGAAAUUGAAGUUUUUACAUCGAAAAUCAAGCUCGCCAGUUUCUGCAUUUCUUCGCCGGUUUCUGGAAAAAUUCCGGCCACCUUCAUACUAUUCUAGGUGAUUGACGGUCUUCCUUGGUGAGCGGUUUUGGCGUAUUUUGUGAAAUUGAAGACGCAGCGGGAUUAGAGCGGGUAAUCCUGCAGGUUAGGAGAAUCAGGGCGGUGAUCCUGCGGGUUAGAGUAAUUGUUAUAGUUUUACAGUGAUUGUAAUAGUGAGGUGAGUUAAGCUCAAUUGAGCCUUACAAUUUGAUUUGGUGAGAAUGUGCUGUAAUAAAUAACUUGAGAAUUUUGGUUUAUCAUUUUAUUAAGAGGUGUGAAGUGUGGUUGCUUGUGAGAAAAUAAACUCAGGAUGUUAUUUGUAAUUUUUUUAUUUUUCAUGCUUCGGAUUUGAAUUUGUUAUUCAAAAUUCGGGGCGUGACAGUCAGAGAGGCCGAUAAGCGAUAAAGAUGAAAUUCAAUCAAGCAGUAUUUCAAUCGACUUGAAAUUCAUGUCAGCCGAUGGGGAGAGUUCAAUCCAAGAUAGCCUACUUCAAGAUUAAUUGCAGCCGUUGAUGACGUCCAUCAAAGCCAAUCCGGAUAGAGUCCAGUGUCAAGUCAGCCGACGAUAAGUAUUGAAGCCGAAUCAAGAUAGAGUCACUGAGCCAAGAGGAG